GAUGAACGCUAGCUACAGGCUUAACACAUGCGAGUCGCGGGGCAGCAUGGGGGUUGCUUGCAAUCCCCGAUGGCGACCGGCGCACGGGUGAGUAACGCGUAUCCAACCUGCCCUUCACCACGGGAUAACCCGGCGAAAGUCGGACUAAUACCGUAUGUUGUCCAUUGACGGCAUCCGAUUUGGACGAAAGGCUUGGCGGGGAGGGAUGGGGAUGCGUCCGAUUAGCCAGACGGCGGGGUAACGGCCCACCGUGGCUACGAUCGGUAGGGGUUCUGAGAGGAAGGUCCCCCACACUGGAACUGAGACACGGUCCAGACUCCUACGGGAGGCAGCAGUGAGGAAUAUUGGUCAAUGGGCGUAAGCCUGAACCAGCCAAGUAGCGUGCAGAAUGACGGCCCUAUGGGUUGUAAACUGCUUUUAUGCGGGGAUAAAGUGGCCCACGUGUGGGCUUUUGCAGGUACCGCAUGAAUAAGGACCGGCUAAUUCCGUG
Molecule: ribosomal RNA, 490 nt
Filed under: uncultured bacterium
Lineage: Bacteria
Description: partial 16S ribosomal RNA
Rfam family: Bacterial small subunit ribosomal RNA
Source: RNAcentral